AGGAUGAACGCUAGCUACAGGCUUAACACAUGCAAGUCGAGGGGCAGCAUUUUAGUUUGCUUGCAAACUAAAGAUGGCGACCGGCGCACGGGUGAGUAACACGUAUCCAACCUGCCGAUAACUCAGGGAUAGCCUUUCGAAAGAAAGAUUAAUACCUGAUGGCAUAGGAUUAUCGCAUGAUAAUCCUAUUAAAGAAUUUCGGUUAUCGAUGGGGAUGCGUUCCAUUAGGCAGUUGGUGAGGUAACGGCUCACCAAACCUUCGAUGGAUAGGGGUUCUGAGAGGAAGGUCCCCCACAUUGGAACUGAGACACGGUCCAAACUCCUACGGGAGGCAGCAGUGAGGAAUAUUGGUCAAUGGACGGGAGUCUGAACCAGCCAAGUAGCGUGAAGGAUGACUGCCCUAUGGGUUGUAAACUUCUUUUAUACGGGAAUAAAGUGAUCCACGUGUGGGUUUUUGUAUGUACCGUAUGAAUAAGGAUCGGCUAACUCCGUGCCAGCAGCCGCGGUAAUACGGAGGAUCCGAGCGUUAUCCGGAUUUAUUGGGUUUAAAGGGAGCGUAGGUGGAUUGUUAAGUCAGUUGUGAAAGUUUGCGGCUCAACCGUAAAAUUGCAGUUGAUACUGGCAGUCUUGAGUACAGUAGAGGUGGGCGGAAUUCGUGGUGUAGCGGUGAAAUGCUUAGAUAUCACGAAGAACUCCGAUUGCGAAGG
Molecule: ribosomal RNA, 707 nt
Filed under: Bacteroides finegoldii DSM 17565
Lineage: Bacteria; Pseudomonadati; Bacteroidota; Bacteroidia; Bacteroidales; Bacteroidaceae
Description: bacterial SSU rRNA
Rfam family: Bacterial small subunit ribosomal RNA
Source: RNAcentral